Molecule: non-coding RNA, 74 nt
Organism: Enterococcus casseliflavus EC20
Lineage: Bacteria; Bacillati; Bacillota; Bacilli; Lactobacillales; Enterococcaceae
Rfam family: Enterococcus sRNA 84
About the family: Name 'Ref' stands for RNA in E. faecalis.
Source: Rfam
CACAACCAACAACCUUUUUAUUUUUCAUUUUACUCCUUUUGCCAUCAGGACUAACCAACCUGAUGGUUUUUUUG